Non-coding RNA from Paramuricea clavata, 79 nucleotides. Lineage: Eukaryota; Metazoa; Cnidaria; Anthozoa; Malacalcyonacea; Plexauridae. The record is from the annotation of a GenBank genome assembly.
GACCACGUAGCUCAGUUGGCAGAGUAUCUCAGUUGGACUAGUAUCCCAAAGGUCGCGGGUUCGACUCCCACCGUGGCCA